RNAcentral lists this ribosomal RNA (119 nucleotides) under Egretta garzetta (little egret). The record is from RNAcentral. Lineage: Eukaryota; Metazoa; Chordata; Aves; Pelecaniformes; Ardeidae.
GCCUACAGCCAUACCACCCUGAGAACACCCGAUCUUGUCUGAUCUUGGAAGCUAAGCAGGGUCGGGCCCAGUUAGUACUUGGGUGGAAGACUGCCUGGGAAUACUGGGUGUUGUAGGCU